Non-coding RNA from Pelobates cultripes (western spadefoot toad), 2179 nucleotides. The record is from the annotation of a GenBank genome assembly. NCBI's taxonomy places the organism in Eukaryota, Metazoa, Chordata, Amphibia, Anura, Pelobatidae.
CGGGGUAAUGGUGGCUAAGGAAUGAGACACGUAGAGGAGGAGUCUACUGAGAAAGUCGCUCAGUCCUUUCCCCUUAAAGAAAAAAAAAACAGCAAGGUGUUUAACUGGCUGAAAAUUGUGUUUGUGAACAAUGCAGUAUGCCAGAAACCAACAUUCCGCUGAUAUCUCCCAUUACAAUUAUACAGUCUGAACGUGAGUAGGCAUUCUAGCAUUGCAUCCUCUCACACUAGCUCUGUUUGAACAGCGGUCUUGAACUGUAAUAAUGCUGUAGUCAUCCAUGCAUGCAAUAGAGCCUAAAGGUUAAAGGUAACCAUUGUUAGCCGGAUUUGCAUAUCCCUACCCAGAACCCUUUGCGUUAAGUGUAAGCUCUGUAUUCUGAGGAUAUCUGUGUAAGAAAAAACUAUGCCAAUUCAGCAACGAUGCGAUUGUGCUCGUCGACUCUCUACUAACCUAUGCGUAGUUUGAUUGCAUAGGAUUUCACUCACCACAGCGACUGUAUGUUAAAUAGCCAGGCUGUAUUAAUACAGUUUAACUGGUCAGAUACAUCCAGAGACGUACAGAGAUUGUACUGCAUUAUGCCAGUGGGUUAGUAAAGUUCAACCCUAUCUACGUCUGGUAUACUGGCAGCUAUUAUUUAUUAAGUACCUUUUUGACAUUCUCAUUACCUUUAAAAUGUCCAGCAUUGUCAUAGGGAAAAGGCGUAGAGCCAUGAGUUGUGUUUACCUAAAGAAUUGUAGAUACCUGGAAUGUCCAUUCAGCUGAGAUGGUAGGGGUAGAAUUACCUUUAUAUAAACUAGAAAAAAUAUAUAUAUCUAAAUAAUUUAAAUAGGUACCCUGAGAAAGGAAAAUAUGAAUUUAAAGGGGCACAUAGCAUGGACUAUGGAGUCUAAUCUACUUUGAUAUUCUGUAUGUUUAUAUGAUUUACACUGAGAUGAUAUAAUCAAUGUCCAAAUAACCACAAGGCUGCCAAUUAAACUGAAGGAAACAACGAUUGAUGCACCUGUGCACAAGCAGGGAGACCAUUAAAGCAGCACUGUCAUCCCAAACAUGCCUUUCUCCAGUUGUUUCCUCUCUCCAAAUUUGUUCAUCCUUUCUGACCUUUUUCUUGUAAAAUACAUAAGUCAAAGUAGGAACUACUUUGUCUUAAGAAUUUUACCGACGCCUGACAAAUCUUGGAUGGAACUUACCCAAGCACCAAUUUCUUUGUCAUAAUUUGCUAAAUUAAAUUCCACAAGUUUCACAUGCCUGUGGCAUCCUUCCUCUCUAAUCCUGCCUUCUCUGUACUUUCUGUAGCGUUACAAGUAUGUUACAAAACAGUGAAAAACCUGUGAAAAACUACGAAUGCAUGACUGCCAGGAUCCCCUGACAUGGCGGCUUGGAACAGACUAAAGAAUUAGUAUGAAUAUAGAAUAAGAAGAUAAAAACUGAUUAAAUGCAUUUUAAAAAAUUGUGCAUGGAGGGACAUGAAAAAAUGUGAUUUGCCCCAUGACAGUGGCAAUUUAAAAAAAAGUAAUGUCACUUCCAGAAUUUCUGUUAUUAGUUUUACUUAUCCCUAUUUUAAAAAAUUAAUAUGUAUCUUUUAGAUGAGAAAAAUAAAAAUAAAUGUAGAAAUUAAAACUCUAUGACCUGCAAUUGGGAGCCGCUGUCUUACCUACCUGUCAAUCAUUGUGUCAAACUCUGUUCUUUGUACGUGACAGUCAGCAUACAGGGAAGAGGAGAAAUUAAACAAUGUUUCUAUUUUCCUCUUCAUCUGCAAUGUUUGCCCUGGUUUUGCCUGGUCUAAAAUGGUUUGUUCGUUAUUAAGAUGUCUAUAUUUUCCCCUUUAAAGAGGUAGAAUACAAUAUCAUUUCUAUGUAACAAAGUCCACAUAAAAAGGUCUCCUGAAGGACAGAGGUUUAAGAGCUUGGAAUUAGAGGUUUAUAGCUUAACUUUUUUAAAUUUAGAUUUCGAACAGCAAAACUAUUUUUAUUUUUGCUGAAUGCCUAAAUAGAACAUCUAAUUGCAGACAUAUCUGGUAAGAGGAGCACUGUUUAAUUAAAAAAGAGACUACAUUUAAAAACAAUAAAUCGUUUUGACGUCAACUUUCUUUCAGAAGCGAGAUGAGUUCCUUACUGCUGGAUUGGCAAAGAGAUCCCGUCUCUCAAUGGUCCAGCACUUUGAGUCCUCUUCACUAAAGAUA